GAUGAACGCUGGCGGCGUGCCUAAUACAUGCAAGUCGAGCGAACGGACGAGAAGCUUGCUUCUCUGAUGUUAGCGGCGGACGGGUGAGUAACACGUGGAUAACCUACCUAUAAGACUGGGAUAGCUUCGGGAAACCGGAGCUAAUACCGGAUAAUAUUUUGAACCGCAUGGUUCAAAAGUAAAAGACGGUCUUGCUGUCACUUAUAGAUGGAUCCGCGCUGCAUUAGCUAGUUGGUAAGGUAACGGCUUACCAAGGCAACGAUGCAUAGCCGACCUGAGAGGGUGAUCGGCCACACUGGAACUGAGACACGGUCCAGACUCCUACGGGAGGCAGCAGUAGGGAAUCUUCCGCAAUGGGCGAAAGCCUGACGGAGCAACGCCGCGUGAGUGAUGAAGGUCUUCGGAUCGUAAAACUCUGUUAUUAGGGAAGAAUAUAUGUGUAAGUAACUGUGCACAUCUUGACGGUACCUAAUCAGAAAGCCACGGCUAACUACGUGCCAGCAGCCGCGGUAAUACGUAGGUGGCAAGCGUUAUCCGGAAUUAUUGGGCGUAAAGCGCGCGUAGGCGGUUUUUUAAGUCUGAUGUGAAAGCCCACGGCUCAACCGUGGAGGGUCAUUGGAAACUGGAAAACUUGAGUGCAGAAGAGGAAAGUGGAAUUCCAUGUGUAGCGGUGAAAUGCGCAGAGAUAUGGAGGAACACCAGUGGCGAAGGCGACUUUCUGGUCUGUAACUGACGCUGAUGUGCGAAAGCGUGGGGAUCAAACAGGAUUAGAUACCCUGGUAGUCCACGCCGUAAACGAUGAGUGCUAAGUGUUAGGGGGUUUCCGCCCCUUAGUGCUGCAGCUAACGCAUUAAGCACUCCGCCUGGGGAGUACGACCGCAGGGUUGAAACUCAAAGGAAUUGACGGGGACCCGCACAAGCGGUGGAGCAUGUGGUUUAAUUCGAAGCAACGCGAAGAACCUUACCAAAUCUUGACAUCCUUUGACAACUCUAGAGAUAGAGCCUUCCCCUUCGGGGGACAAAGUGACAGGUGGUGCAUGGUUGUCGUCAGCUCGUGUCGUGAGAUGUUGGGUUAAGUCCCGCAACGAGCGCAACCCUUAAGCUUAGUUGCCAUCAUUAAGUUGGGCACUCUAAGUUGACUGCCGGUGACAAACCGGAGGAAGGUGGGGAUGACGUCAAAUCAUCAUGCCCCUUAUGAUUUGGGCUACACACGUGCUACAAUGGACAAUACAAAGGGCAGCGAAACCGCGAGGUCAAGCAAAUCCCAUAAAGUUGUUCUCAGUUCGGAUUGUAGUCUGCAACUCGACUACAUGAAGCUGGAAUCGCUAGUAAUCGUAGAUCAGCAUGCUACGGUGAAUACAUUCCCGGGUCU
Molecule: ribosomal RNA, 1372 nt
Filed under: uncultured bacterium
Lineage: Bacteria
Description: bacterial SSU rRNA
Rfam family: Bacterial small subunit ribosomal RNA
Source: RNAcentral